AAAUAUUCCCGUAGGGGGAAAAAAGCCCUUGGCUCAGGGUCAAAACAAGUCUAAGCUGCAUCUAUAAUAUUUUGCAUCACGCAUAGUCACAAAAACAUGAUAAACAAAUUUUACAUUAAAAGCGAAAGUGCUCUAAAUAUUCAUUCGCAUCCACUAAAAUGCAAAUGCAUUUUUUUCUGCAACGUCACGCGUGAACUUCCGGACGCGUAUCACAGAGCUGUCUCUCACUUCGAAAUACAAGGAUUUGGCUUCGCAGCAACAUCAUUGCCCCAAUAAUUGGGCAGUUCUUGUUCUCCAUCUGCUGCCAGAGUGAAGUGCUGCAGCCGCAACUUGUUGCCUCAGCCACUGAUCCCGGGGGGACACCAGAUAAAUCAGUUUGUGUGGCAAUGCACGUACAGUAUGAAACACACACUGAUGUACAGCAGAGAGCUUGUCAUAAUUAUGUUGCGUCAAUGGCGAAGCUUGUGUUGCCAAAUGUAUUCAGCCACUGUCCCAUUUCCAUUCAUUGUUUCUGGGUUCGUCUCCGGAGAGCCACCACCACCUUCUGUUGGAGAGUGAGGGAAACAGGGUCACUGCAGACCGAGGGAGAGAUGGAGAUGAGGAGGGGAAGGAGGAAACAGCAAAUAUGAAAACAGACAAUGGAUAAAGUCAGAGAGAGAUGAUGGUUAAAGGAAUAGUUCACCCAGAAAUUAAAAUGUACUCACCCUCAGGCCAUCCAAGAUGUAGAUGAGUGUAAAACAGAUUUAACAAAACAAAUGUAAUAUUAAAUCAUGACUCCAGUCCAUGAAGGAACAUCUUGUGAAUUGAAAAACUGCAUGAUUGUACAGCGUUUUAACUUUAAACCAUCACUUUUGGCCAGAAUACCAGCCCAUAAUCCAUAAUAUUCCUCCAAUUAAAAAGUUUACUUGUGGCUUAUUGUGAUGUCUUUAUCAGCUGUUUGGACUCUUAUUCUGACGGCACCCAUUCACUGCAGAGGAUCCAUUGGUGAGCAAGUGAUGUAAUGCUAAAUUUCUCGAAAUCUGUUCUGAUGAAGAAACAAACUCAUCUUGGAUGGCCUGAGAUUUCUCACAGGUCGCUAUGCCCCUUUAUGCAGCAGAUGGGAGACACCGAGAGAGAGAGGAAGGAAGAAAAACAAGAAAUGAAGACAGGAGGGAAGAUUUAUAUCAGAACCCCACUGUUAGGAUUCUCCAUCAUUGCCACAGUGACAGGUUACCUGGCAACGGGAUACACAAUGGUGCGGUAACCGUGACGACAGUGCAGUGGUCUGUCUGGCCAAAGACAAAGGUUUGAGAUGGACAGGAGAGCCUCAGACGGCAGAGAAAAGGUGAAGUGUGUGUGUGUGUGUUUGAGAGAGAGAGAGAGAGAAUCAGUCUAUUUACUUUUUUUAAACUCUCAAUAUAUCCAUUCAUGAGACUGAUAUUAUUAUUGACACAAACACACAUGGACGGACAGAGUCUCCCUCUCUUUUUAAUUCUCUCUCUCACACACACUCUGACACAGUGUAGUUUCAGUUCAAUAGCGCUUUAUUGGCAUAACUGUCAAAAUGCAAAAUGCCAUAGAAAGGCAGAGUGUAAUUAAUGAAGGUGCACGCAAACACACAGUGUGUUUAAUGUACGCUGACAGGUGGAUCUAUUGCUCUUGUCAGUGAGGUUCUCUGUAGACAUACAGACUUGAUUAAAGGGCUUGUGUUUUAUGUGAGAGUCAGUGUUGUAGUACAAAACAAACCGAGAACAAACACAGCUAUAUACACACAGACAUCUGUGUUUUAUACAUGUAAUAUGAGCAAAUUGUGUGUUUGUGUGUGUAAGCCUAUGUGUGCCAGUGAACACUCACAUAAUGGUUUUUAUGCAGGGAUAUACCAGACAAAACUAAAAGCCACAGGCCAGGAGGUUUUACAGUAUAGUGUCAAGUUCUCACACACACACACACACACACACACACACACACACACACACACACAUUUUUGCAUCAUUUUGUUAAUAUCGCUAUUGUUUCUCCUGAACACCAAAGCAAUUAAUUCAAGCAAAUGGAGACUUUUAUGUCUCAAGCUUUUGUAAGAAAAAAGACCCAG
This is a long non-coding RNA of Cyprinus carpio carpio, 2071 nucleotides long. NCBI's taxonomy places the organism in Eukaryota, Metazoa, Chordata, Actinopteri, Cypriniformes, Cyprinidae. The record is from Ensembl.